RNAcentral lists this long non-coding RNA (4540 nucleotides) under Sus scrofa (pig). Its description in RNAcentral is "lncRNA (ENSSSCG00000052485.1, ENSSSCG00025057145.1)". The record is from RNAcentral. Lineage: Eukaryota; Metazoa; Chordata; Mammalia; Artiodactyla; Suidae.
AUAGAGACAGAAAGCAGAUUAGUUGUUGUCUGGGGCUGGGGAUAUGAGUGGGGAUUGACUGCCUAAGGAUAGAAAGGAUCUUUUUGGGGUGACAAAAAUGUUCUAAAACUGGGUUGUGGAAAUGAUCACUCUACUCUAAGCUUGCUUAAUCAUUAAAUUGUACACUUACUAGGGUGAAUUUUAUGUUACAUAAUUUUACCUCAGUAAAUUGUUACAAAUGAAAUCAUGUUUAUUAAAACUAAGAAAAGAGAUACUUGGCAGAUAAUUCCUAACCAAAUGACCAAGAUUAACUUCCCUAGUGAUAAGUCAUUUUGAUAUCAUAGAACCUCUGACAUAAUGUUAUAAGAAGAGCACUUCAUUCUUUUGUAUUCUUCUCUAAAACUAUAAUCCCAAUCUAAUUGCAAGGAAACAUCAAGCAAAUCCAAACUGAGAGUUAUUUCACAAAAAUAUCUGACCACUACUCUACAAAACUAUCCAGGUCCUGAAGAAUAAGAAAAAACUGAGAAAUUGUCAUGAAUCAGAGGAGAUUUAAGAGAAAUGGCAACUAAAUGUAAUGUGUGAAGGAAAUAUGGGAAUUCUCUGUACUAGUUUUACAGCUUUUCCAUGUUUGUGAAAUUGUUUCAGAAUGAAAAGUUAAAAUUAAAAAAAGAAAUGGGAGAUGUAUAGAUUAAAGAAGAAUGUGAUUCAGAUGUAAUGGAUGGAUCUUAAUUUAAGAUCCUAAUUUAAACUAACCAGCUGUUAAAAAAGAAAAAAACAUUUUUAAAGUCAAUUAUUUGACAGAAGCAGGAUAUUUCAUAGCAUUAAAUAAAUACUAAUAUUUUAUUUUUUUUGUCUUUAGGGCCACACCCGUGGCAUAUGGAAGUUCCCAGGCUAGGGGUCCAAUUGGAGCUGUAACUGCUGGCCCACACCACAGCAACAGCAACGUCAGAUCCGAGCUGUGUCUGUGGACUACACCACAGCUCAUGGCAACGCUGGAUCCUUAACCCACUGAGCAAGGCCAGGGAUCGAACCUGUGUUCUCAUGGAUACUAGUCAGAUUCGUUUCCACUGAGCUAUCAUGGGAACUCCUCUUAUUUUUGAUGUUGGAUAAUGAUAAUGAUAUUUAUUGUGAUUUUUUAAAAAAAUCAUUAUUUUAAGUAAUACAUACUAAUGUUUUCAUGGAUGGAAUAAUAUAGUAUCUGGGAUUGUCUUUAAAAUGAUCUGGUGGAAGAAAAAGUAGGUGAGAGUAUAAAUGAAGAAAACAUUGACUACAUGGGAGUCAUUUUACUUCUGCUCUCUACUAUUGCAUAUAUGUUUGAAAUUUUUCAUGAUAUUUUUCAAGUAAAAAGGAAAAAAUGACUAAGAAAUAAUUAAAAUACUAUAAUUUGUUCUCUAAGCUGACCACAGAUAGGGCUUGUCUCUUAAAAAUCAAAUCUGAACAAUGUCAGAAUGAAUAAGUCAUAGAAAGGUGAGUGACUUCUCAAACAAUCUGAGCAAGAUACAGUUGAUGCUGAAUAGUUGGGAGAGCAUUAAGAGGACUGCCGGAAUUAGCAUAGACUUCCUAACUGGAAUAAUUUGUUGUUCUUUCCUUGAAGUUCUGUAACCUGAUGAUAUCUAAAACUCCUAUGUAUGCAAGUAUUUUAAAAAGUAGAGUGUAGUUAGAAGCCAUCCUUCGUUCAUAGUCAAUGUUAAGAUCUGUAGUUCCUCACCUCCCUUCAUUUUUCUAUUGUCUGGGGCUUUGUUUUUUUGGCCUUGUGACUUACAGGAUAGGUUCCUGUAAUAUAAUGCAUUUGCUACUUCUCUGGAAAGCCAUUCAGAAUCUUUAACUAAUGCAGAAUGUACAACUCUUUUGCUAAAGGGUCUCUGCCAAGAGAAGCAUUCUUCCGGGCUUUGUAAUUUGCAUUGAUUACUGAGCUGUUUCCCAGUGCCUCACUGGGUGUUGACUAUAUUCUGUGAAGCCUUGCAUAGUUUUGUCUUGAUUAAAGAAGUCUGACAUUGGUGGUCAGUUUUAAUAAUGACUGAGAUUACCUGAAUAAUGAUCUGGAUAACCUGAAGAAAUUUUAACAGAUUUUGGAACCUGAAAUGUCAGGCGCAAGUUAUUCUUAUUGAUGACACAUACUCUGGAAACCCACUAUUUUAAAGGUGGGUUCAGUGUACAGUACUGAACUUGGAAAAAACAGGAAGUUGAAAAGUAGACAAUAGUGCCAUAGGUAAGGUCCUAGUUCUAACUUCUCUGCUCCCUAAUCUAAUCUGACAUGCCUUCAGAAUAUUUCACUUUUUCGAUGACCAAUCUUCCAGUUUCUACCCAAUACUUAACCCCACAACAUAGUAACAGAGUUAAUGAUUUUCUUAUGUGGCAGAUAUGAAUAGGAACAGUAUUCAUAUCAAAGACAACUGGUCCCACUUCCAGGUCCAUCUUUGGGCCAAAAUAUGUAGUCGCCAACAGUGAGUUGGCUACUGUAUUUUUUGAGUCCUGGCGCAAAGUAAGAUCCAUCUGUUUUGCCCAGCCGUUUGCCUGAGCGCCACAAAAUGGUCCUGUUAUUAGUCUUAGUUGUGGUCCUAUUUGAGGUUAGGGGAUAACGUAAAUAAACUUCAGUCCUCCUUGUGAUGAAUGUGACACGGGAAUUAAAAGUGGUGGUUUUGGUACUGGUAAGUGAUGUUGCGUCUCUAUUUUCUCAAUUGCUCUGUUUUCUUUGGAUUGGGAAACAGACAUUUAAGAAUGAGUUUGUCAUCUGGAAGGAAAGUUGUGACCAAGUUUCCCUCAACAGGAUACAAGAUGUUAUUUUUGAGCUUCAUUACCCUCACCAAAGGGAAAAAAAAGAGAGAGAGAGGGAAAAAAUAAAUAAGGAAGAAAGUGAAAGUAAGGAAGAAAUAGGCAGAGACAGAGAAGUGAAGAGAAGGGUCAAAGAAGAGAAAGAGGAGUGACAUGAAAAGAGGAGAAUGUAACUGAGUAGACUUUCUAUUCAUAGAAACUGCUUUAUUAUUUUGAACUAAGAAUUCAAUUCACUCAACAUCUGGUGAAUUAAGGAAAAGGAAAUCUGACUGAUUAAAUUGAACUGCUAGUUGUCAGUUAAGUAGUUUAUAUAUAAAUAUGCAGCCUAGUUUCCAUCACCUUCUCUUGUCUGAAGUAGAAGUGAAUCAGUUUCACUAACCAUAUGUGAUCGGUGAGUAGAACAAUACUAAUUGGUGAUUCAGAUUUAGAUAGAGGUGGGCAGUUUUUAUAUUUCUGAAUCAUUUAUUGGGGAUUAUUGUUAAUUCCAUAUUAUUUCUGAGCAUGAGUUAUUUUUGUCAGUUUCUUUUAUGAAUGUUUUGUUGCCUUAUAAGGAAAUAUGUGCACUCCCCUCCUCUCAUUCAGUUGUCCCUGGUGACGCCUCCAUAAUUUCUGUCUUUAUACUGGUGCAUUUUUAGUCUAAUUCAGGCCUGUGAGAAGCAGGAGAAAAGUUUAGUUAGUCAGUGUCAGUGAUUUUUUUGGGAUCCAUUCAUGGAUAGAUCUAGUGAAUCUGAACCAGUUUAACUUGAAAUCUAUAUCCAUCAAAUAGACACAAUACCUAAAAUAUUCUUCUGUAUACUUCAAGAGCAAAAGAAAAUAGAAUUCACAAAUAAGACCUAGAUGUAUUUUCUAAAAAUAUAUGUGAUUUCAGGGCUGAUUUAUGAUCAUGCUCUCAUAUGUGGAGAUAUUAAGUUACUACCUUGCAUUACUAUGAGGGUGGACAUAAACAUACCACAUUCAAUGCUACAAAUAUUGCCAUGCUGUAAGAAGAAAGAUAAUUGUAUUAUAUCUGUUUUACAGUAAAAAGAUAUAUAUUUUUGUAAAUCCUAUUGUGUCAGUUGUUUGAAGCCAAAAAUAGGGAUGACUUAAUCCAGUCUGCUUUUUUUUUAAACUAUUGUCUUAUUUAUAGAUGGUGUUAUAUGAAGUAAGAAAGGAUUGAUAAAAUUAGUAUGAUGUUUUCAUCCCAAAUAUUUAUGACAUAUUUGGAGAUUUUAAUGCCUGAACUCUUAAUUCAAAGAUUAAAAAUACAUAUUAAAGUGUUUUUACAGUUAUUUAAACCAGGAGGGCUGGUUCAAACCCUGAUGGUUUUCCUGUGCUACUUCAAACAGCAGUGGCUGCAUGUGACAAGCUAUACAAUGUGAUGUGGAAUGGAGCACACUAAACCCAGAAUACCUUGCAGGGGCAUUUUGUAUUGCUAAAUAUGUUUGUUUACCUCUAUUUUGCCAUUUGCCCUACCACCAAUUCAGUCAUUUGAAAGUAGUAGAUCUAACAUUUUUUUCCCAAUUUUAUUUGAAGUUAUAAUUUCCUUUUAACAUUUGUAUUCAGAUCAUAGAUUUUCUUCUUUAUUCUCUGAAAUAACAUUUUAUAUAAUUGUGAGGCUUUGAGAUUGUUUAGGAGGUUUUUUUUUUUUUACUUUUUAAAUCAGAAUAUGACUAAAAUUCAGAAGCUUCUAGUCAUAUCAUUAUAAAGUCCUUAACACGGAGGCAUAUUUUGUUUUUCAGAAUUGCUUUUUUUCCUUUUUAGAUCCUUUUCAUUAAAAAACUACUCUGGGAAGAGGAUUUUUUUUCCCCCU